ACAGUUUCUGCCCCACCUCCUUUGAGUCAUAAUGUUAACACCAUGAGGAAACUGGACUAUCUAAAUGCUCUCCCUGCCUGGACACUGUCUGGUGUUCCACAGUUGCUGGUGCCAAGAUAUCUGCAUGCUUGAACAAUGAUAUCAACACAAACUUGAAGACUAACUAUAAAGAGGCUAAGGUAAAAAGAUCAACUGCAAAAUUCUUCAGCACGAACUCAAGUGAUGAUGCUUCUAAUGGUAAAAGGGCGGAGCAUUUUCUACAGUUGAUUGAUGACAGUGGCUUCAAUUCCUGCUUUACUUUUCUUUCACAAACAUUUGUGCUUUAUGAAAGCAUAUUAAGCAUUCCCUGAUGGCUCAGAAACACAGUCUUAUUGUUUUAGAGAUUGUCCAUUAAUUACAAAUGUAUCUGCUAUUGUUGUAAAUUGCCAUGUCCUGUUGUCUAUGAAGAGAUUUUUAGAAGAAAGAAGGAGAAAGGAAUUAGUUAGGCUAUACCUUGGAUUUAUUAAGAGGAAAGUAAAAAUUUCACAAAUAGGCUCACUGAUUUCUCUACAGUCCAAAAUUUCAUUAAAGGCUAUUUAUUUGUGAUAUCAUACAAUAAGUCCAAAGUAC
This is a long non-coding RNA of Mesocricetus auratus (golden hamster), 609 nucleotides long. RefSeq lists it as uncharacterized. The transcript has 3 exons. The record is from RefSeq and is a predicted model, not a curated record. NCBI's taxonomy places the organism in Eukaryota, Metazoa, Chordata, Mammalia, Rodentia, Cricetidae.